ACGGGGGGAGCAAACGUUGUUCGGAAUCACUGGGCGUAAAGGGCGCGUAGGCGGCUUUGCAAGUUAGAGGUGAAAGCCCGGAGCUCAACUCCGGAAUUGCCUUUAAAACUGCAUCGCUAGAAUUGUGGAGAGGUGAGUGGAAUUCCGAGUGUAGAGGUGAAAUUCGUAGAUAUUCGGAAGAACACCAGUGGCGAAGGCGACUCACUGGACACAUAUUGACGCUGAGGUGCGAAAGCGUGGGGAGCAAACAGGA
Molecule: ribosomal RNA, 253 nt
Filed under: uncultured prokaryote
Description: partial 16S ribosomal RNA
Rfam family: Bacterial small subunit ribosomal RNA
Source: RNAcentral